This is a non-coding RNA of Dipodomys ordii (Ord's kangaroo rat), 72 nucleotides long. The record is from Rfam. Lineage: Eukaryota; Metazoa; Chordata; Mammalia; Rodentia; Heteromyidae.
GAGAAGGUGGCUCAGUGGUAGAGAGCUUGCCUUGAAUGUAUGAGGCCCUGGGUUCAAUUCCUAGGCAUCACG